This 466-nucleotide ribosomal RNA is filed under the name uncultured bacterium. RNAcentral describes it as "partial 16S ribosomal RNA". It matches the Rfam family "Bacterial small subunit ribosomal RNA", at positions 28 to 507 of the family's 1533-position model. The record is from RNAcentral.
GAUGAACGCUGGCGGCGUGCUUAACACAUGCAAGUCGAACGGAAAGGCUCCUGCUUGCAGGGGCACUCGAGUGGCGAACGGGUGAGUAACACGUGGGUGAUCUGCCCUGCACUUCGGGAUAAGCCUGGGAAACUGGGUCUAAUACCGGAUAGGACCAUCGUUUAGUGUCGGUGGUGGAAAGUUUUUUCGGUGUGGGAUGAGCUCGCGGCCUAUCAGCUUGUUGGUGGGGUACUGGCCUACCAAGGCGUCGACGGGUAGCCGGCCUGAGAGGGUGUACGGCCACAUUGGGACUGAGAUACGGCCCAGACUCCUACGGGAGGCAGCAGUGGGGAAUAUUGCACAAUGGGCGCAAGCCUGAUGCAGCGACGCCGCGUGGGGGAUGACGGCCUUCGGGUUGUAAACUCCUUUCGCCAGGGACGAAGCGAAAGUGACGGUACCUGGAUAAGAAGCACCGGCUAACUACGUG